GGCGACGGGAGCGGCGACAUCAGGAGCGACAUUAGUAGCAAAGCAGUUUCCUCAGAGCGACGAUGAAGAGAGAGAACGAUGCCCAUUGCGCGAUGCAAGCAAAUCAGGACAUCAACGAGUCUCUCCAAAGAUCCACUCCUCUCCAUCCUGUUCCGGUAGAGAUGGAUCUGCAACACAUGAGACGUACAACUCCUUUUUUUGCGGAGUUCGCAUAUCCUCCAACGUUAUGACCCCCUGGACUUCCCCUGUUCAUCAGGGGGAGUCCAGGGACCCGUCCCCUGGGACUGCGCGGCCUCCCACCGCCCCCGGG
Molecule: unclassified non-coding RNA, 310 nt
Filed under: Athalia rosae (coleseed sawfly)
Lineage: Eukaryota; Metazoa; Arthropoda; Insecta; Hymenoptera; Athaliidae
Description: misc RNA ENSAEAG00005012817.1
Source: RNAcentral